UGAAUACGAGAUGCUACGGCGUCGAAGCAGUGUAUGUCAGACUUCCAAGAAAAGCUCGCAAUGUCAUAAAUAAAGAAUGCCUGUACCAUAACCGACACAGGUGGGUAGGUAGAGUAUACUAAGGGGCGCGAGAUAACUCUCUCUAAGGAACUCGGCAAAAUAACUCCGUAACUUCGGGAGAAGGAGUGCCUUCUUUAAGAAGGUUGCAAUAACAAGAUCCAAGCAACUGUUUAUCAAAACACAGGUCUCCGCUAAGUCGUAAGACGAUGUAUGGGGGCUGACGCCUGCCCAGUGCCAGAAGGUUAAAGAAGUUGGUUAGCUUUUGCGAAGCUGAUGACUGAAGCCCUGGUGAACGGCGGCCGUAACAAUAACGGUCCUAAGGUAGCGAAAUUCCUUGUCGGGUAAGUUCCGACCCGCACGAAAGGCGUAAUGAUUUGGAUACUGUCUCGGAGAGGGACUCGGUGAAAUAGACUUGUCUGUGAAGAUGCGGACUACCUGCACCAGGACAGAAAGACCCUAUGAAGCUUUACUGUAACUUGAAAUUGAAAUUGGACUUUAUUUGCGCAGUAUAGGUGGAAGGCGUUGAAAGUAAUCUUGCGGGAUUAGUGGAGCCAUCAGUGAGAUACCACUCCUAUAAUGUUAGAUUUCUAACUUUGGAUCAUGAUCUGGUCAAAGAACAGUUUCAGGCGGGCAGUUUGACUGGGGCGGUCGCCUCCCAAAUGGUAACGGAGGCGUACAAAGGUUUCCUCUGAACGGGUAGAAAUCGUAUCUAGAGUGUAAAGGCAUAAGGAAGCUUGACUGUGAGACCUACAAGUCGAGCAGGGACGAAAGUCGGUCUUAGUGAUCUGACGGUGCUGAGUGGAAAGGCCGUCACUCAACGGAUAAAAGUUACUCUAAGGAUAACAGGCUGAUCUCCCCCAAGAGUUCACAUCGACGGGGAGGUUUGGCACCUCGAUGUCGGCUCAUCGCAUCCUGGGGCGGUAGUACGUCCCAAGGGUUGGGCUGUUCGCCCAUGAAAGCGGUACGCGAGCUGGGUUCAGAACGUCGUGAGACAGUUCGGUCCAUAUCCGGUGUAGGCGUUAGAAUAUUGAGAGGAGCCUUCUUUAGUACGAGAGGACCGAGAAGGACAUACCUCUGGUGUACCAGUUAUCGUGCCAACGGUAAACGCUGGGUAGCUAUGUAUGGAGAGGAUAACCGCUGAAAGCAUCUAAGUGGGAAGCCCACCUCAAGAUGAGUAUUCUCA
Molecule: ribosomal RNA, 1243 nt
Filed under: metagenome
Description: bacterial LSU rRNA
Rfam family: Bacterial large subunit ribosomal RNA
Source: RNAcentral